RNAcentral lists this ribosomal RNA (274 nucleotides) under uncultured bacterium. RNAcentral describes it as "partial 16S ribosomal RNA". It matches the Rfam family "Bacterial small subunit ribosomal RNA", at positions 523 to 796 of the family's 1533-position model. The record is from RNAcentral.
AUACAGAGAGUGCGAGCGUUAAUCGGAAUUACUGGGCGUAAAGCGCGCGUAGGCGGCUUAUUAAGUCAGAUGUGAAAUCCCCGGGCUCAACCUGGGAACUGCAUCUGAUACUGGUAAGCUAGAGUUUUGGAGAGGGAAGUAGAAUUUCAGGUGUAGCGGUGAAAUGCGUAGAGAUCUGAAGGAAUACCAGUGGCGAAGGCGACUUCCUGGCCAAAAACUGACGCUGAGGUGCGAAAGCGUGGGUAGCAAACGGGAUUAGAUACCCUAGUAGUCC